Long non-coding RNA from Fundulus heteroclitus (mummichog), 1995 nucleotides. RefSeq lists it as uncharacterized. The transcript is spliced from 9 exons. The record is from RefSeq and is a predicted model, not a curated record. NCBI's taxonomy places the organism in Eukaryota, Metazoa, Chordata, Actinopteri, Cyprinodontiformes, Fundulidae.
GUGAUGAUGACAGUGAAGUUCAUGUAAGGUUGCCAUCUCAAGAUAGUCCACUAUCUGACAUUGUGGUGUGGGAUGGUCCAGAUGAAGCAAGCACUCCAAGACUGGAGAAAAUUUUUAAUGGGCCUUUUGGACACACAGAACAAGGGUCUGAUCAGGAUGGCGGAAACACCAACAUCCAGGAGCAUCCCAUGUCCUCAGAGGGCCAGAACCACUUCUAUCGCAACUACACAAAUGUGUACGCACCAAUAACUGUUGACAGCGACUCUGAGCCAGAUGAAUAUCUGAUGCAGUUCCCUGAGCAAAGUACAGACAACGUGACUGCUGCAGACAUCAUUUCAGAGCUCUCGGCAAUGAUCACGUCAUCAUCUCUCAGCCGCUUUAACAUAAACAGAGCCAAUGUAUGGGAUGGAGCACAGAGAAGUUUCAAGCGGGCUUCUUUCAACCCUUUCAAUGAAAUGUUUGUAAAAUUCACCGAUGACGAGGGACAGGCAGAAGACGGCGUUGAUAACGGUGGUCCCAAGCGCGAGUUUCUAAGCCUUUUAAUGAACUGCUUAAAGGACUCGAAGAGUCUUUGAUGGGCCAGAAGAAAGUAAAUGUAUCACUUUUGACAGUGAAGGUAUUGCCGUUAAGGGCAAUAUUUCAGAGUUUUCUCAUAAGAAUGUGACAGCUGUUGGUGAAUGUGGAAUUAAUGUGAACAAAAUCUAUACAGCAGCCAAAAAUUAUGAAUAUUUCCUGGUUGGGAGGCUGAUUGCCACUUCUGUCGUUCAUGGAGGUCCAGGUCCUCAAUUCUUAUCUGAGAAGCUCUACCAGCACCUCACAGGAACAUCAACAAAUACAGAAGGAAAGAUAGAAGACAUCACCGACAACACCAUGAGGGCUUCUUUGAUUGAGAUAUCCAGUGCAGGUACAUUGACUGAACUACACCAGUCAGUUGAAAGACAUGCAAGCAUCUUGCAAACUGCUGGUUGCUUGCAGUUCCCUGUGACUGUUGAUGACAAAUAGAAAAUUGUAAAGGAGUUCAUUGAUUGGUACAUCAUUUACCGCAACCAUUUCUCUAUUCAAAGAUUCAAGGAUGGCCUUUCAACUCUGAACUUCCAGAAUGCUUUGGAGCAGCAUGCUUCCGUCUUCAGGCCAUUUAUGUGUGCAAGAGUGGAACAGCUGACAUCCAAAAUAUUGGAGGAAAUAUUUGAGGUUCAGCUCAGUGAAAAGGGUAGCAGCAGACGACAUGAGGAAACAAGAGUGCUAGGAUUCUGGAGAGACUUUCUCCUUGACACAGAAGAACAAAAUACGGGUCUCUCUCUCCAGGACGUCCUGAUGUUUGCCACCGGCUUGAACACACUACCUCCAUCUUCAAUUCUGCCACCACCAAAACUGAUCUUUCAGGCCACUUCUCGUUUUCCUGUCAGUAGCACCUGCUCCAACACUAUCAAAAUACCAAUGUCCAAGACGUAUCAUCAGUUUAAAGAAGACAUGGACUUUGGGAUUCAAAACUCCCCUGGGUUUGGGCUUUAUUAAGAUCAAAUGCAUAACAACAAAACAAAAUGCUAACUAUUUAACUUGUCAAACCUGUUCAGUUAUGACACUGUUUAGUGUUUGUGUGCGACCUUCAAAUUUGGAUUCUUGUUUGUUUAUAAGUCCACUAUGUUUUUCAGUUUGAUAUAGUUUUCGACACAUGAUUCCCAACUCUGUGGAUGUGCUAGGCCACACUGUCUCUGGAGGUUCUCAAAAUGUGUCUGAAGGUGUUCAUCUCCACAUUGAAUGUUGUUAGUCUCUGUCACAAACUGUCCCAAUUGCUCCUGGGAGACUGGGCAACCACAGUCUGUUACCUAGGAAUAGAAGAAGCACAGUAAACAUUUAGUUAUAUUUACAUUUCUUCACUAAACUGUUACUGCUGUGACUAUUGUUGUAACCUGUCUAAAUGAUUAAUUGUAUUUAAAUUUACAUUUUAGAAAUUGUCAUCUGAAAUUGUUAGAAUAAAAAGUGACAUACUGUUAA